CUUGAGCUCUCGCCUGUGCACUGGCCGUCACAGCUGCAGAGAACAAUGAAGAUGAGGAAGACGAAGAAGAUCUAGAAUCACUGGCCUCCAGUGUGCCCAGU
Molecule: long non-coding RNA, 101 nt
Organism: Lemur catta (Ring-tailed lemur)
Lineage: Eukaryota; Metazoa; Chordata; Mammalia; Primates; Lemuridae
Exons: 3
Source: RefSeq, a predicted model, not a curated record